GUUUUUUCCUGUUCUUUGCACAUUUUCUUGUGUGUUCCCUUUAUCUUCUUAUUUUGAUCACUGAUUUUAAUGUUACAGGCUCUUCCCAAAUGAGUGCUGGGGAUUUAGUUGUCUGUUCUUACUUAAGAGUAAGACAAUAAAAAAUGGACUGCAAUUUUGUUACCUGAUUGGCUUCACUCUAAGGUCUUUGAGCAGAGGCCUUACUAGCCAUUUCAGUGGGUAAUUAUCACGUAUCAAAAUCGGCAGACUUUUUUCCUUGGACCUUUCAGUUUCUCCAAAAAGGAAUUUUUUGUUUACCUUUUUUGUAGGGUAUAAGCCUACCUGUGAGGAUUUGGGGCACCACAGAGGCGUGAGGAGGAAGGGAGCCAGAGGUUUCACCAUCCAAGCCUGAGAAUGCUUAGAUCCAGUGCUUUUGUUUCAGCCUUAUAUGGAGUCUAGGAUUGAAGUCUUGCUGUAUCAUUUUCUCCAGAGGGUAAACUGCCCCUUCUUACAGGAGUAGGGAUGGUUUGUUUGGCUCUACCAGGCACACCACUGAGUUCUUUGGGAUGCCGAAAAGUGUAUGGUUUGGAAACAUGAAAUAGAAGACGAGACCCUGACUCAGCAAGUAUACCUGAGAAUACUUUUAGAGGAACCUGUCGAUAAAUGCAAAACAGCAGCUGUUGGAGGUGAUGGAACUGUACUGGAACAAUGGGAGAAGCUGGUAGCUUAUAGGAAGCCAAGAUGACAAGAAUGUUUUUAAAUAAUCCGUAAGUUAAUGUUUGUUGGCCUUUUGGAAUUCUUUUAACUACUGGGUAAAUUUUCUUUAAGGAACCAUGGUAAAAGGAUAGCAUAGUCAAAUAACUUGAGU
This 847-nucleotide long non-coding RNA is filed under the name Piliocolobus tephrosceles (Ugandan red Colobus). RNAcentral's name for it is "lncRNA (ENSPTEG00000037861.1)". The record is from RNAcentral. Lineage: Eukaryota; Metazoa; Chordata; Mammalia; Primates; Cercopithecidae.